Molecule: ribosomal RNA, 19 nt
Filed under: Ramalina paludosa
Lineage: Eukaryota; Fungi; Ascomycota; Lecanoromycetes; Lecanorales; Ramalinaceae
Also listed under: 2 other names
Description: partial 25S ribosomal RNA
Source: RNAcentral
AUUGACCUCGGAUCAGGUA